GAGAUUCCCGCUGAUGAGUCUAGGAAGAAUCACACAAGCUCCUGGACAUCCUUCAUGUCAUGAUACCAGGUUGUCUUGCAAUGCACACCGAUGAGAGGCUGACGUGCCACUCUGGCAACAGCAUUGGCACAUUGUUUCCGGAUGCUGUUCCAUCUGUCUGUGUCUGUCUGUUCUCUCGUCUUAUAUUUAGAUUGUAAACUCUUUGGGGGCAUGGGCUGUCUUUUUCUUCUCUGCUGGUACAGCUGUCACACUCCCCAGGGAUCUCCAGUGUUGUGAGGCACCCUCUGCACCACCUGCCCUUAGUGCAAGGAAGUCCUGUGUGUGCCUGCUGUCAAUCAUCCCCCUGAAACCCCCAGCCUCUGGUGACCCAAGCACUGUCCUCCAGGCCCCCCGGGCCUUCCCGGCAUGUGGCAAGAUUUCUCAUUUGCUGAAGGAUGACCAGGAGAAAGGAACGGGCUGUGGUUAUGUUUCAGAAACCUCUUGCAAGCAAACGUGCUGCAUCGCAGAUUCCACCUCUGAGUCCGCUUACAGCUUUUAGCCAGUCAUGUGGAAAAACCUGGGACCAUUUUUAUAAUUUCACUGCUGUCAUGUUAUUCUGGAACCAUGUUCCAUCUUAAUUAGGAGAAAAAUCGGUUUCAGAUUUGCAUGCAGCAAAAGAAAAGAAAAGAAAAGAAAAGAA
This is a long non-coding RNA of Dermochelys coriacea (leatherback sea turtle), 679 nucleotides long. RefSeq lists it as uncharacterized. Lineage: Eukaryota; Metazoa; Chordata; Testudines; Dermochelyidae. The transcript has 2 exons. The record is from RefSeq and is a predicted model, not a curated record.